RNAcentral lists this ribosomal RNA (253 nucleotides) under uncultured bacterium. Its description in RNAcentral is "partial 16S ribosomal RNA". It matches the Rfam family "Bacterial small subunit ribosomal RNA", at positions 524 to 776 of the family's 1533-position model. The record is from RNAcentral.
UACAGAGGGGGCAAGCGUUGUUCGGAAUUACUGGGUGUAAAGGGUUCGUAGGCGGUGUGGCAAGUUGGGAGUGAAAUCUCUGGGCUCAACCCAGAGGCUGCUUCCAAAACUGCUGUGCUUGAGUGUGAGAGAGGCUCGUGGAAUUGCAGGUGUAGCGGUGAAAUGCGUAGAUAUCUGCAGGAACACCCGUGGCGAAAGCGGCGAGCUGGAUCACUACUGACGCUGAGGAACGAAAGCUAGGGGAGCAAACAGG